AACACAUGCAAGUCGAACGGGAAAGUGGAGCAAUCCAUGAGUAUAGUGGCGACCGGGUGAGUAACACGUGACUACCUGCCCUUGAGUGGGGGAUAACCUCGGGAAACCGAGGCUAAUACCGCAUAAUAUCGAAAGAUCAAAGGAGCAAUCCGCUUUUGGAGGGGGUCGCGGCUGAUUAGCUAGUUGGUAAGGUAAUGGCUUACCAAGGCGAAGAUCGGUAUCCGGCCUGAGAGGGCGCACGGACACACUGGAACUGAAACACGGUCCAGACUCCUACGGGAGGCAGCAGUGGGGAAUUUUGCGCAAUGGGGGAAACCCUGACGCAGCAACGCCGCGUGGAGGAUGAAGCCCCUUGGGGCGUAAACUCCUUUCGACUGGGAAGAUUAUGACGGUACCAGUGGAAGAAGCACCGGCUAACUCUGUGCCAGCAGCCGCGGUAAUACAGAGGGUGCGAGCGUNGUUCGGAAUUAUUGGGCGUAAAGGGCGCGUAGGCGGUGCGGUAAGUCACCUGUGAAAUCCCCGGGCUUAACUCGGGGCCUGCAGGCGAAACUGCCGUGCUGGAGGGUGGGAAAGGUGCGUGGAA
RNAcentral lists this ribosomal RNA (583 nucleotides) under uncultured bacterium. RNAcentral's name for it is "bacterial SSU rRNA". It matches the Rfam family "Bacterial small subunit ribosomal RNA", at positions 50 to 666 of the family's 1533-position model. The record is from RNAcentral.